This 17067-nucleotide long non-coding RNA is filed under the name Sorghum bicolor (sorghum). Its description in RNAcentral is "long non-coding RNA (SBIC_LNC012137)". The record is from RNAcentral. Lineage: Eukaryota; Viridiplantae; Streptophyta; Magnoliopsida; Poales; Poaceae.
AACCGGAAGAGGAUAAAGUAAACUCAUAAACCAAAGAAUAAUCAAACAAGAACUUACUAGUAAUUAGAAGUCGAAUUACUGAAGAAUCUUAGAAGCAAGCCUCGGGUUAGGAGACUUGAUCCCGUAGGUAUAACUCGGAGUAGACACCGACAGGCCGUCCUUCCUCCGAUCCACACCUCCACUCUAUCUCUCUCAAUCUAGUAGAAACUAGAAGAUCUAUUUCUACUUUACAUUGGUUGCUAAGCCUAAAAAGAAAUAUUAUUUAGAGAAGAGGUUUUCCAUCGAGGGCACCCCUCAAUCUCUAUGAUAAUUCCUUGUCUUCUCUAGGGGCCAGAGGGGGUCUCCUUAUAUAGUCCUCCCCUUCUAUGCGUUUUUGGGUCGAUAGGCGAGGUGGUACUAUGUUAUUCUAGAUCCAAUAGGUCGGUGGAACAUCGUGUACGAAGAGAGUCCGGAACAGAGUCCAGAGGGGGGCGGGCACCCAGGUCCUCAGGGCGGGCGCCCUGGGCCUGGCCCCUUUCGGGCUCCGCUUCCUUCCCGUGGCUUCUGGAGUCUUCUAGAUGAUAGAAAAUUGCGCGGUGGGUUGAUAUCUCUAUGUAAUCCCGACAUGUGGGCCUUUCUUCCUUAUUUCCUGAUAACCCCCUGCAGAAAUAGACAAACACCAAAACUCGUAGAAUUCUGUCAGAUAAAACCCUAAGUCUAGAUGUUGAUUUCAUUUGGAUCCUUUUCUUUAUUUAUUUGAUAAUUAAAUUUGAUACUUAAGGACCGUCAACAAACUCCCCAAAGCUUACCUCUUGCUCGUCCCUGAGCAAGGAUAGACUUAGCUAUGGAUCAUAAAUUGUUGCAAUAUUUUUAAAAAUUGAUGUACACAUGCUUUUUAAAUAAGAUCUCAUCUCUGAGUUAGAGUAAACUGUCAAGACUUAAAACUUACUUACUUUACCUUUACCAUGGGACUUGUAACUGUCACUUCUGUCUUGAGUGGUUAAAAGAUAGAACAGUCUAGCCAAGUGCCAUGUCUCUUAUUCUUGAUCAGCUAUAGCUUAAGAGUUUUUGCAGAUUUUCAAAUAAAACUCAGAGAUUCCUUGUAUGAUUCUCUCAGAUCUCUCUUUUGUGGUAUUUUUGGAUCCUUACCAAGGCAUUGAUGGUAUAUGCCUUCUCUCAAGAUAUGUGGUAUUUGUGGUAUAAGGCAUUGCCUUCUCUCUCACCCUACUAUAAUAAGGCUUUAAUAUCUGGAGCUCAUAGGUGGGAGAUAAAGUAUACAUACUUACAAGACAUUUAUUGCAUAGUCAAACCAUGGAUCCAAAGAAACAAAUCAAUAAGCCAAAUCAAGAUGUGCAUGUGUGGCGAAUGAAUGGUGUAUGGUGAUGAUGGUGAUAACAAUGGUGGUGGAAGUCUAAUUCUACUUUGCUCUUUGAGGGGAUACAUACCUUCCUUGCUUUUGAAACUUUAUGAGGAGAAUGAGAUGCUCUUCUUUUUUUUCUCUCAGGUGGGUAUCUUGCACCCCUAAUUCUACUGUCGGACACUUGUCCAUUUUUAUCUCUCGUCUCACUUUUUUCUUUUUCUUCGAGGUUCCGGGCACUUGCCCCUUUUUAUUUCCUCGUAUUUAUUAUUAUUUUUUCUUUCUUUUUUUUCUCUUUUUUUAGAGCAUUCAUCUCUUGAGAUAAUAUAGCAAGUGGUAGUAACAAGAUAACUUGAGCAUUUAUUUCACAAGGGGAAACAGAAAUAUUUUUGGUUAUUCUCUCCCGGAUUAGGAGUAGAAUACUUGUGGGUGGUUUUGGAGAUGGAAAUGAGUGGAUAUAUGUGGAUGGUACUUCCGGAGUAGAAGUAGCAUGUAUGAGUGAACGUGCAAGUGAAAUCUUGAUUUAACCACAUGACAAGUUCCUAAGGGUCUACACAGCUUGACUACACUCAAUGCUCAUAAGCAGUAAAUAGUAAAUGUGUGGCUCAAAGUCUAGCAAGCAUGUAUAUAUGGCUGUGGUAGGAAUUUAAACUCUCAUCAUACAGGAACUCAUCAUGUAACAUUUUAAAGAUUUUCAAAGAUAAAAUUCUCCAGAAUUCUAGCAUCUCUAGGAACAGAUAAACAACAGCUCAACCUUCCCAUAUCGUAUCCGUUAACAACUUAGACUUCAGAUCAAGUUUUCAUCCCACAAGUUUAGGUCUAGAGCAAGCCUUAAAUUAUAACAGUUAUAUCUAAACUUGAGAGAGAACUUCAAAUUUGCAAAUUAGGCAGAGCAACUAUUCAUCAUAUCCAUGCUUAAGUUUUAUUAGAUACAGAUUAGCAUAGCCACUUUAUUUAUUUAUUAAACACACUAAGCAAAAUAUAUAUAAGUAUAAAAUCUUUAUUUGGUUUUUCAUAGUUAUGUGUAUUUAUAUUCUAAUAUAGUAUAAGUAUAAAGAUAGAUAGAAAUACUUAUCGAGAUAAAUGGGGGUGCUUUCCCCCAAGCUGAAUUUUGACGUAAUUUCUCUUGAUGUAGCUAGCAGGUGGCAGAGGUGUGUUUGAAAGUCAGGAGUAUUUUGACAGCGAUUAGAAUGUCCUCUGUCUGCUAGUCUUCUUGAUUCUUAAAUUCUGUGGAGCUCAAAUAGACAACAAAGCUUGUGGAACUGAUUAAGUGUUAGCAUAAAUAUUUAGCCUUUAUCAUCUUGAGACUCCUUAAUAAUUAUUACUCCCUGUUUUUUAUAUUUUCAUUUUAUAAAGCAGAAAAAUAUUUAUUUUAUUUUUAUGCCACCACAGUGAAUGUACUUAUGGGUUUUAUGCCACUCGUAUACUCACAUGGGGCUUACUGUUUUUCACAUUUUUAUUUUCUUUUAUUUUUAAGAUAGUAUGAAUAUGAUUAACUAAGUAAACUAUCUAAAAUAAUUGAAAGGGAAAUGAUAACUACCAAGUUUACCUCUUGGCAAGGCGUUCGGUAUUUUUAAGUCCUCCGAACGGGACUCUCCGUUUUCGUAGUCGUCCUGGGAUUUGCUGGGUGGCGUAGUCGGUGGUUCCGGCGGCGCCUCCUCUUCGUGUAUAACUAUCUUCUCUUUCCAUACCUGACUCGGUGCUACGGUCUCCUCAGGACAGUUCUGUUCAAGUUGUAUGUCUUCAGUCCUUAUCACUUCUCCUUCGUAGUCUACCCAUCCGUCCUUGAUGAUUUGCCUCCUCUGGUUGCGGUUGCGUUGUCUUCUUCUUGUCCUGACCUGCUUAGAAUCUUCAACUAUAUAGUUAGAAUCAUUAAAGUAGUGGCGUACCUUCUCAGAGGAGAAGUGCAUGUGGACUUCUCUGGUUCCAGUAUAGAUAAUGACUUUGAUAGUGCUGAGGAACGGUCUUCCAAGGAUGGUGGAUGGAUCAUACUUGUCUUCUCCCAUGUCAAUGACCUGAAAAUUUUCUGGGGCUGAAUGUAUGCUGGUUGUAGGAGCAUGGUUCCAUGCAGGAGCUGAUAAGUGACUGCGGCCAUUAUGUUGACAUCAGAUCCGGUGUCGUAGAGUGUCUUCUAAAAAGAGUAUCCAUUGAUUGUGCACUCAAUGUUUGGAACACCAGGGUCGUCCUUCUUGAUCAAGAAAGGUGACUUGAGUCGACGAUCUUGACCUCUUUGAACUGCAGUGACCAUCUUAGCUGACUCAGUCCACAUUUGCUUGUUCCUGUUCCUCCUGUUGGUCCUCUUCCUUGGUUUACGUCUGGAUUGAUCUUGAAUUUGUGUAGUCUUGUUCUUGAAGAAAUGUCUCCUUCUUCCCUUUGACGUAGAAACUGAUCUUGGCAGUACUAGCGUAGAUGAUAGCUCUUGUGUUUAGGAAUGACCUCCCUAAGAUGAUGGGUGCCCUCUCCUCAGUACCAAUCUCUAUUACCACGAAGUUUGCUGGAGCGUACAAGGUACCAACUCGGAUACAGAGGUUCUUCAAUAUUUCCUUUGGGAAACUAAGUGUCUGAUCUCCAUUGUGUUUGUGCUCGUAGAUCCCGGUUCUUCACUUGAUGGAAUCUGGGAGUUGUAAAACUCCUCCAUGUUUUGCUUGAAGUGUACCUAUUCAUAAAGACAAGGCAGAGAUCAAGUGCAUGGGCCCUGUUGGUGGAAAACACCAACAGAACCAAAAGUGUAUUUGUUCUUCUCCAACCUUAAGCAUAGUGAGCAAGACAAAGUUGUUGGAUCGUAGCAUUUAAAACAUGUGUUAGAUCAGAUGGCUCAACCUAAUGGAAAGAUAAUCUAUCUAUAUUUAUGUUUUGUUUAUAUCUUCCAAAGAUUGAAUGUGCAACAUAUUAGCUUAUAUGAUUGAGGACUAAGAACAAAGAUUAAAGGACUAAACAUGCUGAAUCAGUUAGGUUAAUUUAGAGUUAUAAAUCAUACAUGUUUGUCUCUUUAUUUAUGUGAAUGCCAGAACCAAGGCGAAGCUUAUAAAAGCGAUAGUCAAGUACUUUAAGAUGUUAUUGAAGAGUGAUGGUAUAGUAUCACCUUGUGGAAGCUUUCCUUUCUUAGUGGUUGUGCAUCGUGUUUGUGGCACCCUCCAUGAAUCAUCUCUUAUGAGCUACGUCUUUCUUGUGCAGAUUGUUAAACUUCAUGUGUCACUUUCUUCAUCUCAAAUGCGACUUUAUCUCAGGACUUCCCUGGUUGAUAUUGAAAGUUCUCCUGCAGGGGUUAGUCCCACAAAAUAUACCAAUAUCUACUCAAGCAGUUUUUAGUUCAGUAACCAAACUAGACUCCAUGUCUAAUCACAUUAAGGAAGGCUGUUUAACCUAAGCACCAUGCUUAAUUUAAAAGCCAAUGGAAGUAUGUCGAGUACUUCCAAACCUACACUUACUAGGAUAAACAAAGGUAGCAUGAUGGCAUUUAUAGAGAUCUACUCAAGUGGAGAUGAAGUAGUGUGAUUAGUAUUUAACAAAUUGAGCAUGUCUCAAAGGUAAGGACAACCAACAUAGCAACAUGGCAAAGGAUGUUUUUAUGUAAAGUACUCCCCCAAGCUUGAAUUUUACAAAAUUCAAGUUUGGAUGAAUUUAAUUCAAUGUUGUGUGAUGGUUGGUUGGACAUACCUUGUACUUGUCAUUCAUCCGAUCUUCUUGCUCCAAUCCUGGAAAGGUUAGUGACAAGAAUACCCGAAGGAAUAUUUCUACAAUUAUCUUUAUAUGCUCAAUACACAAGGCAAUGUUGCAAAUAAUUAGAAGUGCUUGUUUUAGGACACUAAGCUUGUCCUUGGGAAACCAUCAAUUAACUCAACGAGAUCUGCAAUAUUUAUUAUAGACAUAUGCAUCGACAACCGCUCUUUUAAAGUUUUUAUAAAUAAAAAAGAAGAGAGGGUUGGAGAUCUCAAAUGUGAUAAGGAUGGAGAGACUAAUUGAUUGGAGAGAUGUUUUAUAUGAGCAAGGACUGGGUAAGGUAUUUAAGAAAUAACUUCCAUACCCACUGUUGUUACUCUCAUUAUCAAACUCCAAGGAUGAUUCUUCGUGAAUGCUUAAAAUUCCUCUAGGAUUGUCUCUCAAGUUUGUUUUAUCUAUCCAUUCAAUGGUGAUAGCACAUGGAUUUUUAAUGCCCUCUAGCCAUCGAUGUUGCUCUUCUCGAUCCUCCUUCUUAUGCAUGGGAUGUCUAGAGAGAUUCAUAGGAUUAUCGGGAGGUUCAAGAGAAAGAGCAUAGUAGAAUUUAUUAAACUCUAGGAUGGGUUGGAUAGCCGAAUUAUGGGAUUGAAAUGUUUGAAAAUCGGUUAUUGAAACUUCCUCUCCUCGUCUGGGAGAUGAUUCCUUCUCUAUUUCUAAGAUUUUUCUAUGAAGACUAGUACAAGAAGGAUGUCCACAAAUGAAGACAUACCUUCCUUUACUAAUAGAUAAAGAACGAAGGACUCUACCAAAGGUUAUAUGAUUAAGACCAAUAUGAAAAUAUCGAGAAAAAACAUGGUCUUGUAGGGCUAGGUCUAAACCAGAGUUUAUAGUAAGAUUAACAUAUUCCCUAGGUGUAGCUAAAAGUGCAUUAUCUUUUUGAUUAAAAGAUAGGACCUCGGCUAUAGAAAAGGGUUGGUUUUGACCUAUUGCAAUCAACUCCGGACACAGAUCAUAAUUAGGGGCAGGACGUGUUGACUCCCAUGGUCUAUGGCUGGUCUCCGAAGGUGCAAAGAAUUCAAUAAUAGGUAUGGAAUUUAAGUUAUCCAUAAAAAUAAAAAGAUAAAAAAGUAUAAAAGUAUAAUACAAGAUAAUAGCAAGACUCAAAGUUAUCUCAGCAAACCGUCUUUCUCCCCGGCAACGGCGCCAGAAAUGCUUGUUGAUAUUUGGUAACGCAAUUAGAAAAUGAUCCGCAAGCGCACGGAUAUCGGUGAGCAUUUCACCCGGGAGGAUUUCCAGAGUAUCGUAUUUAUAUUUUUACCACUGGGAGAAAGGGUGCAUCUGACUAACCAAAUCUAUUGCUACUAUCCCUUUAGGCUACAAAGAAUGUCUCUCGAUGUGAGUGAUGUAUAGAGAUGACUGCAACCGUAGUCUCGUUCUAACCUUGGUAAGGAUGAUCUACUGUUUUAUUGGAGAGGCUCACGGAAUCUAGACAACUCAAAGGAUGUUCGACCCGCACCUAUAAACCUACCCGUCCUGCUAACGAGAUGUGAUCUGCAAAGGUAACUCGGAAUUGCCAUGUUCCUCGCUACUACCACGGUCCAGCUAGUCAGGGGAUAUCUAUGAGUACCCUAGCCUAAACACCACGUUUACGCUAACAAGUGAUUACUCUAAUACUCAACCGUAAGAGGAUUAAAGUAAACUCAUAAACCAAAGAACAAUAAAACAAGAACUUACUAGUAAUUAGAAGUCGAAUUACUGAAGAAUCUUAGAAGCAAGCCUCGGGUUAGGAGACUUGAUCCCGUAGGUAUAAAUCGGAGUAGACACCGAUAGGCCGGCCUUCCUCCGAUCCACACCUCCACUCUAUCUCUCUCAAUCUAGUAGAAACUAGAAGAUCUAUUUCUACUUUACAUUGGUUGCUAAGCCUAAAAAGAAAUAUUAUUUAGAGAAGAGGUUUUCCUUCGAGGGCACCCCUCAAUCUCUAUGAUAAUUCCUUGUCUUCUCCAGGGGCCAGAGGGGGUCUCCUUAUAUAGUCCUCCCCUUCUAUGCGUUUUUGGGUCGAUAGGCGAGGUGGUACUAUGUUAUUCUGGAUCCAAUAGGUCGGUGGAAUGUCGUGUACGAAGAGAGUCCGGAACAGAGUCCAGAGGGGGGCGGGCGCCCAGGUCCUCAGGGCGGGCGCCCUGGGCCUAGCCCCUUUCGGGCUCCGCUUCCUUCCCGUGGCUUCUGGAGUCUUCUAGAUGAUAGGAAAUUGCGCGGUGGGUUGAUAUCUCUAUGUAAUCCCGACAUGUGGGCCUUUCUUCCUUAUUUCCUGAUAACCCCCUGCAGAAAUAGACAAACACCAAAACUCGUAGAAUUCUGUCAGAUAAAACCCUAAGUCUAGAUGUUGAUUUCAUUUGGAUCCUUUUCUUUAUUUAUUUGAUAAUUAAAUUUGAUACUUAAGGACCGUCAACAAGUACUAGGCUUGGAGUCAACCAGUCAAUGCUGUCCCUGUGUGGAGCUUCCGUCGAGAGCGUUGUUUACUUUAUGUUAUCAUCUUUGUAAGAGACUAUGUGAUAUUUUAUAUUCCGCUAUGUAAUAAACACUACAAUGGUACAUUUGAGAUUUGUCUACUUAUGUGUGCGACUGUUUUUUGGGGCACAUAUGAGUCUUUUAUGCAUCCUAUUUUGUUCUUAAAAUAUGGGUGUGACAAGAAAUCAAGGAUUAGAUAAGAAGAAAGAAUAGCAGAGAUAAGGCAAAAGAUAAAAGGAAAAGUAUAUAUAUAUUUUUUUAUUUUUUAGAAAAUGAUUGAGCUAGUUCGUAGUCAACUCAGCAACCGUCUCCCCAGCAACGGCGCCAAAAAUGCUUGUUGACACUUGCUAACACCACUUGAAUACUAGGUUGUUAUCCCCAACAUGACACUAGAGUGUACUAUGGUAUUUAUACGCACACAGAUAAAUCCGCAAGUGCACGGAUACCGUUGUAGCUUUUACCCAGUUAAAGGUUUCAUCGUAUCCACAGGGAAACAGGAGAACCAACUACGCUCUAACUUAACCAAGAUAGAUAGAUGAGUGUAAAUAGGAAAGAUGGUAGAAUUGAAUAAGAACAAUAUUAAAGGUAAGAUAACAAUGGGUGAUAAUAUGGGAAUAGAGAGUAGAGCAAUCUAAUAUAUGGGCGAUGGUAGCAGAAUAGAGAGGAUAACUAUGGUUUCUCUACUUUAAAGGGGUAUGUCUAUGUCUAGGACGAACCACGUGAUAAGAAUACACCACAAAGGAUGCUUCUCCAUAGGCCGAUAAACCCUACCCGUCGUACUAACAAGAGGUGGACUACAGGGGACCAACGUAACUAUCACCUACGCGGCCUACCACACGAUCCAGCUAGACAGUGGAUAUUCACAAGUACUCUAGGUCUAAGCACCACGCUUACACCUAUACUACAACUCUAACCUAUAGGGUCCUAUAGAUUAGAAGUACUCAAAAGAGUUGUGAACCAGAACAUACAUGAUUAGUAAUUGCAUAAUGAAUUAGAAGUAGAUUACUAGAGUCAUCCCAUGAGCAAGCUUGAUUAGAGCUUGAUCAUGGUGAAGUACAACCGGAGGAAGAAUCGACAGGCCGGCCUCUCCUCCAAUCCUCCCUCGCUCUCCAUCUCGCUACUAUCUAGAUCUACUCUAGUUUAGAGAAGAGAGGAGAGCUCUCAUCUCUAAACCCUAGCUUUUGCUCUGUCUAUGAAUAAUGAAUAUGGAUCAAGGGGUUGCCUCCUCUUGGGGCCAGGGGGUCUGCUUAUAUAGGCCCCUCAAGUGAAUCUGGGCCGUCGGAUCAAACCGACAUUGAUUGAAUGGUUAUUCUUGAUCCUUUAGGUCGGUGGAGCGUAAUCCCCGAAGAGAGUCCUGAUUGGACUCUGGGACAGGGCGGGCGCCCAUGGGGGGAGGGCGGGCGCCCUGCCCCCGAGCCCGCUUGGCCUCCCGUUUGUUCCCGUGGCUUCUGGAGUCUUCUAGAUGAUAGAAAAUUGCGUGGCACGUUCAUAUCUCUAUGUAAACCCGACAUGUGGGCCUUUCCUCCAUAUUUCCUGAUAACCCCCUGCAGAAAUAGACAAACACCAAAACUCAUGGAAUUCUGUCAGAUAAAACCCUAAGUUUAGGUGUUGGCUGUAUUUGGAUCCUUUUCUUUGUUUAUUUGCAUUGAGAGUUGCAUCUAGUGGCACUUGAUCCUUGAGUUUGUUGUGGAUUUCUUGUUACUCUUGGGUGUUUCUCGACACCCUACAUGGCUUGGAGCAGUGGAGGUGUUGAGCUUGUGACUGGAGAUUGUUUCGAGCCUCACGAAGUGAUUUGUGAGGGGUUCUUGAGCCUUUUUUGCUGGAGAUCACAAUUGGAAACUUGUUAACUUACAAAAUUUGUUAGCAUUUAUUUCUCAACCAGAUAUCAAUAUAUACUAGAAUAGGGUUAUCACUGACAAUUUCCAUGAGUUUUUCAUAUUUUGUGUUUUCUAGGGAUAAUUUCAAAAAGAGCUGAAAAGAGGGAUUUAAGUGCUAAUUGGCCACGAAACGUAUCCGUGAUGGAAGGAUGACACCAGAGGAAUCAGGAACACCCUAGAAGACACCCGACGCAACGGGGGAGCCAGUAGCCGCGAGGUGGGGUCGGCCGGCCACACCCUAGCGCCGGCCGGCCCCCUAUGGUUAGGGUUUGCUCCCCCCUUCCCGAAGCUUCCUCCACCGCCUUUGAGGAGCCAUCUCGUCUGAUUGUUAAAUCGGUUUGAUCCAACGGCAUGUGUCCAUCUCAAUAGGCUAUAAAUAGAAGGCUAGACCCCCCUGGAGGAGGCCACUGUUGACGGUCCUUAAGUAUCAAAUUUAAUUAUCAAAUAAACAAAGAAAAGGAUCCAAAUGAAAUCAACAUCUAGACUUAGGGUUUUAUCUGACAGAAUUCCACGAGUUUUGGUGUUUGUCUAUUUCUGCAGGGGGUUAUCAGGAAAUAAGGAAGAAAGGUCCACAUGUUAGGAUUACAUAGAGAUAUCAACGCACCGCGCAAUUUUCUACCAUCUAGAAGACUCCAGAAGCCACGAGACCGAAGCGGAGGCGAAACGGGGCCAGGCCCAGGGCGCCCGCCCUGGUGACCUGGGCGCCCGCCCCCUGUUGGAACCAGAUCAGGACUCUCUUCGCUCGGGAUGUUCCACCGACCUAUUGGGUCAAGGAAAACAUAGUACCACCUCGCCUAUCGACCCAAAAACGCAUAGAAGGGGAGGACUAUAUAAGGAGACCCCCAUGGCCCCUGGAGAAGACAUGAAGAAAUUAUCAUAGAGAUUGAGGGGUGCCCUCGAAGGAAAACCUCUUCUCUAAUUAAUAUUUCUUUUUAGAUUGAGAGAGAUAGAGUGGAGGUGAAGACUGGAGGAAGCCCGGCCUGUCGGUGUCUACUCCAAGCUUGUACCUGCGGGAUCAAGUUCUCCUAACCCGAAGCUUGCUCCUAGGAUUCUUCAGUAUUUCGACUUCUAAAUUCUAGUAAGUUCUUGUUUUAUUGUUCUUAUGGUUUAUGAGUUUACUUUAAUCUCUUCGCGUAGAGUUUAGAGUAAUCAUUGCUGGCGUAAACGUGGUGUUUAUGCUGGGGUACUCAUAGAUAUUCCCUGACUAGCUGGACCGUGGUAGUAGUGAGGAACGUGACAAUUCCGAGUUACCUUUGCAGAUCACAUCUCGUUAGCAGGAAGGAUAGGGUUUAUAGGUACGGGUUGAACAUCCUUUGUGGUGUCUAGAUUCCGUUAGCCUCCCCAUUAGAACAGUAGAUCAUCCUUACCAAGGUUAGAAGGAGACUACGGUUGCAGUCUUCUCUAUUUAUCACUCACAUCGAGAGACAUUCUUUGUAGCCUAAAGGGAUAGUAGCAAUAGAUUUGGUUAGUCAGAUGCACCCUUUCUCCCAGUGGUAAAAAUAUAAAUACGAUAACUUUGGAUAAUCUCCCGGGUGAAAUGCUCACCGAUAUCCGUGCGCUUGCGGAUCAUUUCCUUAUUGCGUUACCAAAUAUCAACAGCCACAUUAAGAGAUGAAGAGUCAGAGCAUUAGAUACACAUCCACUAGAUCUAGGCUAGCAAUCAAGAUAGAGAUUAGAGAGAUAGAGUAGAGAAGUAGCGAUUCAGAGGAGUCCCGGCCUGUCGGAGCUUCCUUAGGAGCUGUAUUCGUUUAGAUUUGGCUCCCUCGCCCGGAGCUACGUUCUGAGGUACUUCUGUAUUUACCCUUUCUGAUUCAAGUAUGCAACUUGUUUGUAUUCGUUCUUUGGUUUGCAACUCAUAUUAUAUUGAGUACUACAAUUUGGGUAGCUCCUAGGUCGGAGUAGUGAUUCGUAGCGUAGACGUGGUGUCUAGGCUAUGGUUGCUUGUGAAUGUCUCCUGAUCAGCCGGAGAGUGGUAGUUCGCGUAGGUAACUUUAUAGCUGCGUUGAUUCCUCUGUGUUGGGUAUUUUAAACGCAAACAGAAAAAAUCCGCAAGCGAACAGAUACCGAUGUAGCCUUCACCCAGGAGUAUUUCAGAGUAUCGAUUUUCCACAGGGAACGUGAGUGUACUAAUCAAGAAUCAAGAUCGCCCAAGGAUAACUAUAUAAUUAUUUUUGGUGGGAAGAGAGGAAGUUUCCUGAGAGUUGUCUAGUUGAUCUAAGAAUCAAAAAUUACUUCAAGAUUAUCUAUAUCGGGACAUCAGAGCACUAACCAGAGAAAGAGAUGAGAAGGGGGCUAGGAAGGUCUGACUACGGUCCUACAAACACCGAUCCGAGGUGGAAUACGUCGACCGUUAGGGCUGUCACUACCCUAAGGCUACCACAACAAUCCGCAGGAUUGGGUGCAAUUCUAGGUAAUUGCAAGACUAAACACCACGUCUAAUCUAUUAAUUACUACUCUAGCGUUAUAAAGACUAGAGCACUUGAUGCAAGUGGGAAUCCAAUAAAUAACUUGAAUGUAAAUAAAAGUAAUUAAAGAACUCAGGAAUUAUGAAUUGAAGAACCUGGAGAACGAUGAAGAACGAACCAGUUGCUGCAAAAGUAUAAUGUUGAGGAAGAUCCGACAGAUCCGGCUCCUCCUCCGCUCUCCUCUUCGCUCUCCCUAUUUUCUAGAUUACAACUAGAACUAACUAGAACUAGAACUAGUGGAACUAGAACUAGAACUAGAUGAACUAGAAUUAGAUCUAGAUGAACUAGAGGUAGAACUAAAAGAACUAGAGGGAUCCUCUCUACUUGGAUGAAGAAUUGAAACCCUAACUUUGAUUCUGUAGAAGAGGUAUGAUCUCCAGGGGCUAGGGAGGUCUGGUUUUAUAGUCCCUUCCAGUGAAUCUGGGCCGUCGGAUCAAACCGACAUUGAUCGCAUGAUUUUCCUUGAUCCUUUAGGUCGGUGGAGCAUAAUCCGCGAAACGUGUCCUGAUUGGGCACUGUAGCUGGGCGGGCGCCGAGGGGAGUUGGGCGGGCGCCCAGCCUCCGAGCCCGAUUUCCUUCCCGUUCGUUCCCGUGGCUUCUGGAGUCUUCUAGAUGAUAGAAAAUUGCGUGACAUGUUAAUAUCUCUAUGUAAACCCGACGUGUGGGCCUUUCUUCCGUAUUUCCUGAUAACCCCCUGCAGAAAUAGACAAACACCAAAACUCAUGGAAUUCUGUCAGAUAAAACCCUAAGUCUAGGUGUUGGUUCCAUUUGGAUCCUUUUCUAUGAUUAGUUGAUGGUUAAUUGUGAGCAUUAAGGACCGUCAACAAGCUCCCCCAAGCUUAACCUUUGAUCGUCCCUGAGCAAAGAUGAACUCAAGAGUUUCUGCAGUGGUUUCAUAACUUAAAGAUACACAUGCGUUUAAACAGGAUCUCAUCUCUGGUUAGAGUAAACUGUUAAGACUUAAAACUUACUCAUUUACCUUUCACCAUGGGACUUGUAACCGUCACUUCUGUCUUGAGUAGUUAAAAGAUAGAACAGUCUAGUCAAGCACCAUGUCUCUUGUUCUUCGAUUAACUAUAGCUCUGGAGUUUUUACAGAUUUUCAAAUAAAACUCAGAGAUUCCUUGUAUGACUCUCUAGUCUCUCUUUUGUGGUAUUUCUGGAUCCUUACCAAGGCAGUAAUGGUGUAUGCCUUCUCUCAAAGUAUGUGGUAUUUUUGGUAUGAGGCAUAGUGGUAUUGCCUUCUCUCUCACCCUACUCUAAUAAGGUUUUGAUAUCUGGAGCUCAUAGGUAGGAGACAACUAAUACAUACUUACAAAACAUUUAUUGCAUAGUCAAACCAUGGAUCCAGAAGAACAAGUCAAUAAGUCAAAUCAAGAUGUGCAUGUGUGGUGAAUGAAUGGUGUAUGGUGAUGAUGGUGAUAACAAUGGUGAAAGUCUAAUUAUACUUAUGCUCUUUUGAGGGGAUACAUACCUUUCUUGCUCUUUUGAAACUUUUUGAGGAGAAUGAGAUGCUCUAUGUUUUAUUUUUCUUGCACGUGGGUAUCUUGUACCCCUAAUUCUACUGUCGGACACUUGUCCAUUUUUACCUCUCGUCUCACUUUUUCUUUCUUUCGAGGUUCCGGGCACUUGCCCCUUUUUAUUUCCUCAUAUACUUUUUUUUCUUUUCUUUUUUUUCUUUUUUUAGAGCACUCAUCUCAUGAGAUAAUAUAGCAAGUGGUAGUAACAAGAUAACUUGAGCAUUUAUUUCACAAGGGAAAACAGAAAUGUUUUUGGCUAUUCUCUCCCUAAUUAGGAGUAGAAUAUUUUUAGGUGAUUCUGGAGAUGGAAAUGGCUGGAUAUAUGUGGAUGCGUACUUCCAGAGUAGAAGCAGCAUGUGUGAGUGAACGUGCAAGUGAAUCUUGACUUAACCACAUGACAAGCUCCUAAGGGUCUACACAGCUUGACCACACUCAAUGCUCAUAAGCAGUAAAAAGUAAAUGUAUGGUUCAUAGUCUAACAAGCAUGUAUAUAUGGCUGUGGUAGGAAUUUAAACUCUCAUCAUACAGGAACUCAUCAUGCAUUUUAAAGAUUUUCAAAGAUAAAAUUCUCCAGAAUUCUAGCAUCUCUAGGAACAGAUAAAUGUUGGGUAUUCUUAACAUCAUUACUAAAAGUAGACUAAGUUCUAAAUCUAGCAACGGUGCCAAAAAUGCCAAACCUAUCCCUCACACCACUUAAGCCAAGUUGUCAUCCCCAGCAUGAUAUGAGAGACGCGGUAUUGAAAUAUGCAAUUGCUCUUCUAAAUAAAUAAUGAAUGGGAUCUGCAAGCGCACAGAUUAAUACCGAUGUAGCAUUUUAACCGGGAAGUAUUCCAGGUAUCGUUAUUUAUAUUUUUACCACUGGGAAGGGAUUAGCAAUCAUCACUAUUGAUUACAGAAUAGAAUAUGAGAUUGAGCAUCUAUCAUUGCAUGUAUAAUUGAGAACAUUAUAUCUAACUCAUCAUACAGGGAUAAAUGUCACAUAAAAGAUAUAUGAAAUAAUAAUAGUGACAAGGAUAACUAAUCUGAUCUAGCCACAUAAUAAAUAUGAUAAGCACCUCAAUUAGAUACUCUAGAAAGUCAUUAGCAUGGUAUUAGAACGAACUACAAGAAUAUUCCCUAAGUUAUUCUCAACUAUAUAGUCUAGCAUUAUCAUAGUUAGAGCAAGCAUACUUAGCAAUCAUUGUGAGACAAGACUACGCCCAUGCAUAGUGAUAUUAGCAAGGAAUAUGAGAAACAUAGCAAUCACUCCCCUGUAAUAAUGUUGCUCUGCCAGCCCAAUACACGAGAGGGGGACUAUAUAAGAAUCAAUGAAGCUGUCACUAUCACGAACCACCCCACGAUCUGGCAUAUUGGGUACAAUCGCAGAUAAAUACGGUAUAAGCACCACGCCUACACAAUAUCUAUCAGUUACCCAUGGAUCCGAUGGAUAAACGCUAUACGAUCCUAAGCAUGUAUAUAGAUCGUAUCUAACUAAGCCAAGUACAUAACUAUGAUAAACUAAGAACAAUAUAAUCUUGAAUAUAAGCAAGUAGAGCAAAGUCAUAAGCAAUAUAUUGAAGUAGAACAAAGUCAUAUUCAUAAUAUUGAAGAACAAAGAUAAUUAGAAAGCAAUUAGAAGCACAAUUAGAAGAUUACCAAGAAUCCUCCUGACAGAUCCGGAAACCAAUCGAAGAUUGACUCCUUCUAGUUCUAAUCCUAUGUAGCUAUGCUAAUCUAGAUGUCUAAUUGAUGUGGUGGCUCUAAUCUUGAUCAGAGGCUUCUUCUCCCUUGAUGGAACAAUGAAUUAGGGUUGAGAGGCUCUCUCCUCCAGGGGCCAGGGGGUCUGGUUUUAUAGUCCCUCCAAGUGAAUAUGGGCCCUUGGAUCAAACCGACAUAGAUUGUAUGGUUUAGAUUCAUCCUUUAGGUCGGUGGAGAUCUCCCGCAAAGCAGAGUCCUGAUUGGACUCAGGAGGUGGGCGGGCGCCCUGACCAACUGGGCGGCCGCCCAGGGUCUGGCCCCGUUUCGCCUCCGCUUCGGUCCCGUGGCUUCUGGAGUCUUCUAGAUGUAAGAUAAUUGCGCAGCACAUUAAUACCUUUACGUAAUCCUGACAUGUGGGUCUUUCUUCCGUAUUUCCUGAUAACCCCCUACAGAAAUAGACAAACACCAAAACUCGUGGAAUUCUGUCAGAUAAAACCCUAAGUCUAGAUCUUGAUUUCAUUUGGAUCCUUUUCUUUAUUUAUUUAAUAAUUAAAUUUGAUACUUAAGGACCGUCAACAAACUCCCCCAAGCUUACCUCUUGCUUGUCCCUGAGCAAGGAUAGACUCAGCUAUGGAUCAGAAGUAGUUGCAAUAUCUUUAAAAAUUUGACGGUACACAUGCUUUUAAAUAAGAUCUCAUCUCUAAGUUAGAGUAAACUGUCAAGACUUAAAACUUACUUACUUUACCUUCACCAUGGGACUUGUAACUGUCACUUCUGUCUUGAGUGGUUAAAAGAUAGAACAGUGUAGCCAAGUGCCAUGUCUCUUAUUCUUGAUCAGCUAUAGCUCUGGGAUUUUUGCAGAUUUUCAAAUAAAACUCAGAGAUUCCUUGUAUGAUUCUCUCAGGUCUCUCUUUUGUGGUAUUUUUGGAUCCUUACCAAGGCAUUGAUGGUAUAUACCUUCUCUCAAGAUAUGUGGUAUUUGUGGUAUGAGGCAUAGUGAUAUUGCCUUCUCUCUCACCCUACUCUACUAAGGCUUUAAUAUCUUGAGCUCAUAGGUGGGAGAUAAAGUAUACAUACUUACAAGACAUUUAUUGCAUAGUCAAACCACGGAUCAAAAAUAACAAGUCAAUAAGUUUAAUCAAGAUGUGCAUGUGUGGCGAAUGAAUGGUAUAUGGUGAUGAUGGUGAUAACAAUGGUGAAAACAAUGGUGGUGGAAGUCUAAUUCUACUUUUGCUCUUUUGAGGGGAUACAUACCUUCCUUGCUUUUGAAACUUUAUGAUGAGAAUGAGAUGCUCUUCUUUUUCUUGUCUCUCAGGUGGGUAUCUUGCACCCCUAAUUCUACUGUCGGACACUUGUCCAUUUUUACCUCUCGUCUCACUUUUUUUUCUUUUUGAGGUUCUGAGCACUUGCUCCUUUUUAUUUCCUCGUAUUAUUCCUUUUCUCUCUUUUUUUUAGAGCACUCAUCUCUUGAGAUAAUAUAGCAAGUGGUAGUAACAAGAUAACUUGAGCAUUUAUUUCACAAGGGGAAAACAGAAAUAUUUUUGGUUAUUCUCUCCCGGAUUAGGAGUAGAAUAUUUUUAGGUGGUUCUGGAGAUGGAAUGGGUGGAUAUAUGUGGAUGGUACUUCCGGAGUAGAAGUAGCAUAUAUGAGUGAACGUGCAAGUGAAAUCUUGAUUUAACCACAUGACAAGCUCCUAAGGGUCUACACAGCUUGACCACACUCAAUGCUCAUAAGCAGUAAAUAGUAAAUGUGUGGCUCAAAGUCUAGCAAGCAUGUAUAUAUGGCUGUGGUAGGAAUUUAAACUCUCAUCAUACAGGAACUCAUCAUGCAACAUUUUAAAGAUUUUCAAGAUAAAAUUCUCCAGAAUUCUAGCAUCUCUAGGAACAGAUAAACAGCAGCUCAGCCUUCCCAUAUCUUAUCCGUUAACAACUUAGACUUUUUCAUCCCACAAGUUUAGGUCUAGAGCAAGCUUUAAAUUAUAACUGUUAUAUCUAAACUUGAGAGAGAACUUAAAAUUUGCAAAUUAGGCAG